RNAcentral lists this ribosomal RNA (468 nucleotides) under uncultured bacterium. Its description in RNAcentral is "partial 16S ribosomal RNA". It matches the Rfam family "Bacterial small subunit ribosomal RNA", at positions 28 to 507 of the family's 1533-position model. The record is from RNAcentral.
GACGAACGCUGGCGGCGUGCUUAACACAUGCAAGUCGACCGGAAAGGCCCUGCUUUUGUGGGGUGCUCGAGUGGCGAACGGGUGAGUAACACGUGAGUAACCUGCCCUUGACUUUGGGAUAACUUCAGGAAACUGGGGCUAAUACCGGAUAGGAGCUCCUGCUGCAUGGUGUGGGUUGGAAAGUUUCGGCGGUUGGGGAUGGACUCGCGGCUUAUCAGCUUGUUGGUGGGGUAGUGGCUUACCAAGGCUUCGACGGGUAGCCGGCCUGCGAGGGUGACCGGCCACAUUGGGACUGAGAUACGGCCCAGACUCCUACGGGAGGCAGCAGUGGGGAAUAUUGCACAAUGGGCGGAAGCCUGAUGCAGCAACGCCGCGUGCGGGAUGACGGCCUUCGGGUUGUAAACCGCUUUCGCCUGUGACGAAGCGUGAGUGACGGUAAUGGGUAAAGAAGCACCGGCUAACUACGUG